This is a long non-coding RNA of Daphnia carinata, 984 nucleotides long. RefSeq lists it as uncharacterized. Lineage: Eukaryota; Metazoa; Arthropoda; Branchiopoda; Diplostraca; Daphniidae. The record is from RefSeq and is a predicted model, not a curated record. The transcript is spliced from 3 exons.
AACAAAAACAAAAUCAAAUCAUUGUUGAAAUCAUAUUGCAAUUCAAACCAAUAAGCAAUGUCCUACCUAUACUCGUCGUCACUUCAUCGUUCUGAGCUCUUCUUAAUGCUGGGUUUGUGUGACGGUUUUCAUUAAUAUCUCUUUAAAGUUUCGUUUCAGGGUUUUUCAGCGUUGAUGCGUCGACAUUUCAUGGCACCAUUGCUGCCGUAUUGGUCUGUUUGCCGUGAUUUUGCAUCGAGCAGCCUUCGUGAAUUCAUCCCUCGGUUAGUGAGGUGCCAUAUUCUUGAAAGGGAUAUAUUGCAUUGUCACGUAGGAAGCAGCUGUGGUUAUUUGUGCCUAUGGGUUGUGCCAGUUGGGAUGGUGUUUGGUGCCCUUGUAGUGCAUUCUGAACGUCACACUCAUGUUGGGUUUUGCUUUGGCGUUCACUUAGUGGCGGAAUGUUGUUGUUGAGGUCGUCUUGGUAAUUUUUUUCCCUUGCUUCUCGUUCUGUUGUUCGAGUAAUUAUUUCAAUUACCACCCCAGGCUGAAGGACAAUGUUGUUUGGUUGUCUAUGGUGACGUCAAUUACCUUCACUCUGUAGCUAUUAUUUUUUCUGAGAAAUUAAUUCCGCCUGUUUCUAUUCAGAAUCUGCUGUGGCGAUUUUCUGUCGACUGUUCCUUGUUGCUCUGGUGUUAAUUACGUCUUAGGAGUCCCCUGGCCUAUGAUGCUGCCGCCGAACUGUUUGUUUUUCACGCUUCAGGUAAUGUUUUUUCUUUAUCGUGCUCAUCUGUUCUGCCGAAAAAUUCGGUUCCGCACUUCAGGUAAUAAUCUUUUAUGGUGCUGAUCUGUUCCAGAUGAAGGGUCAACUUUCAGGUAUGACGAUUGGCUUGACUUCAGAUUCUUUUUAAAUGGCAGGCUGUUGGUUUUUAGGAUUGAAAUUCUUGCUGGAAACUGAGCAUGAUGAAAUAAUGUUUUCUUGAAUUCUUUUUAUUUUUACCUUAUAUU